Molecule: ribosomal RNA, 449 nt
Filed under: Actinomyces sp. oral taxon 525
Lineage: Bacteria; Bacillati; Actinomycetota; Actinomycetes; Actinomycetales; Actinomycetaceae
Description: bacterial SSU rRNA
Rfam family: Bacterial small subunit ribosomal RNA
Source: RNAcentral
GACGAACGCUGGCGGCGUGCUUAACACAUGCAAGUCGAACGGGCCCGUCUUCUUUUUUGGGGGCGGGUUGAGUGGCGAACGGGUGAGUAUCACGUGAGUAACCUGCCCUCCUCUCCUGGAUAACCGCUUGAAAGGGCGGCUAAUACGGGGUGGUCCGGUUGGUCCGCAUGGGCCGGCUGGGAUAGUUUCAUCUUCGGGUGUUUCGGUGGGGGAUGGGCUCGCGGCCUAUCAGCUUGUUGGUGGGGUGAUGGCCCACCAAGGCGGUGACGGGUAGCCGGCCUGAGAGGGUGGGCGGCCACACUGGGACUGAGACACGGCCCAGACUCCUCGGGAGGCAGCAGUGGGGGGUAUUGCACAAUGGGCGGAAGCCUGAUGCAGCGACGUCGCGUGAGGGAUGGAGGCCUUCGGGUUGUGAACCUCUGUUUCCGGUGGUGAAGGCCCUGCCCUUG